CGUACACUCCUACGGGAGGCAGCAGUGGGGAAUAUUGGACAAUGGGCGCAAGCCUGAUCCAGCCAUGCCGCGUGAGUGAUGAAGGCCCUAGGGUUGUAAAGCUCUUUCACCGGUGAAGAUAAUGACGGUAACCGGAGAAGAAGCCCCGGCUAACUUCGUGCCAGCAGCCGCGGUAAUACGAAGGGGGCUAGCGUUGUUCGGAUUUACUGGGCGUAAAGCGCACGUAGGCGGACUAUUAAGUCAGGGGUGAAAUCCCGGGGCUCAACCCCGGAACUGCCUUUGAUACUGGUAGUCUUGAGUUCGAGAGAGGUGAGUGGAAUUCCGAGUGUAGAGGUGAAAUUCGUAGAUAUUCGGAGGAACACCAGUGGCGAAGGCGGCUCACUGGCUCGAUACUGACGCUGAGGUGCGAAAGCGUGGGGAGCAAACAGGAUUAGAAACCCCGGUAGUCCCAUG
RNAcentral lists this ribosomal RNA (453 nucleotides) under uncultured organism. RNAcentral's name for it is "partial 16S ribosomal RNA". It matches the Rfam family "Bacterial small subunit ribosomal RNA", at positions 330 to 799 of the family's 1533-position model. The record is from RNAcentral.